GACCGUUGAUCAGAACAUUAACAAAUUUCAAAACAAUCACAACCGUUCCUUUCCUCUCACAAGAACCUCAACUCGCCGGGACUCCGCCGGAGAACACUACCCCACUACCCCCGAAUCCAUCCUCCGGUAGCCCACUCUACAAUGAAAACUGGAGAUCCCCAUUUGCAGCUACCUCACAAUCUGUAUCUUCUUCCGUUGUACCCUUGGGGUUCUUACGCCAAUCGCCUGCUGCGCGUAUGCAGGCAAUGUCGG
Molecule: unclassified non-coding RNA, 252 nt
Filed under: Hevea brasiliensis (rubber tree)
Lineage: Eukaryota; Viridiplantae; Streptophyta; Magnoliopsida; Malpighiales; Euphorbiaceae
Source: RNAcentral